Molecule: ribosomal RNA, 497 nt
Filed under: uncultured bacterium
Lineage: Bacteria
Description: partial 16S ribosomal RNA
Rfam family: Bacterial small subunit ribosomal RNA
Source: RNAcentral
GAUGAACGCUGGCGGCGUGCCUAAUACAUGCCAGUCGAGCGAACAGAUGAGGAGCUUGCUCCUCUGACGUUAGCGGCGGACGGGUGAGUAACACGUGGAUAACCUACCUAUAAGACUGGGAUAACUUCGGGAAACCGGAGCUAAUACCGGAUAAUAUAUUGAACCGCAUGGUUCAAUAGUGAAAGACGGUUUUGCUGUCACUUAUAGAUGGAUCCGCGCCGCAUUAGCUAGUUGGUAAGGUAACGGCUUACCAAGGCGACGAUGCGUAGCCGACCUGAGAGGGUGAUCGGCCACACUGGAACUGGGACGCGGUCCAGACUCCUACGGGAGGCAGCAGUAGGGAAUCUUCCGCAAUGGGCGAAAGCCUGACGGAGCAACGCCGCGUGAGUGAUGAAGGUCUUCGGAUCGUAAAACUCUGUUAUUAGGGAAGAACAAAUGUGUAAGUAACUAUGCACGUCUUGACGGUACCUAAUCAGAAAGCCACGGCUAACUACGUG